UUGGAGGGCAAGUCUGGUGCCAGCAGCCGCGGUAAUUCCAGCUCCAAUAGCGUAUAUUAAAGUUGUUGCAGUUAAAAAGCUCGUAGUUGAAUUUCGGGAUCAGUACGCCGGUCGUGCCUUCGGUAUGCACUGGUGUCACUGGUUUCUCCCUUCUGAAGAACCAUCAUGCCAUUAAGUUGGUGUGGCGGGAAAUCAGGACUGUUACUUUGAAAAAAUUAGAGUGUUUAAAGCAGGCUCGCGCUUGAAUACAUUAGCAUGGAAUAAUGAAAUAGGACGUUUGACCCUAUUUUGUUGGUUUCUAGGAUCGACGUAAUGAUUAAUAGGGAUAGUUGGGGGCAUUAGUAUUCAAUUGUCAGAGGUGAAAUUCUUGGAUUUAUUGAAGACUAACUACUGCGAAAGCAUUUGCCAAGGAUGUUUUCAUUAAUCAAGAACGAAAGUUAGGGGAUCGAAGACGAUCAGAUACCGUCGUAGUCUUAACCAUAAACUAUGCCGACUAGGGAUCGGAUGAUGUUAAUUUUUUAAUGACUCAUUCGGCGCCUUACGGGAAAC
This 549-nucleotide ribosomal RNA is filed under the name uncultured Glomus. Its description in RNAcentral is "SSU rRNA". It matches the Rfam family "Eukaryotic small subunit ribosomal RNA", at positions 548 to 1098 of the family's 1831-position model. The record is from RNAcentral. Lineage: Eukaryota; Fungi; Glomeromycota; Glomeromycetes; Glomerales; Glomeraceae.